GAAAGAUAUCAGAUUUGGAGCUGCCUGAUGUGAAUAGUGUAUGCUACUAUUGAGGGUUGACUAUAAGUAGAAGCUACUAGGCUUCUCCCUCUCCAUCAGCCGACCACCAUUACCACUACCAUACGUUCAUGGUGUAGUGAGAGAAACUCUCCCUUUUCUCUCUCUAAAUAUCUCUCUCAUCUCUCUAUAUUUCUCGCCCAAAUUCGCGGCGUUGGUGGAGAUCGAGCUUGCGAACGCGUUGGAGGCGACGGAUUGAGCUUUCGUGCGCCCGUUGGAGCGACGUGUUUUCGUUGCGGCGUUCAUAUUGGGGUCACUGAACGCGUUGGAAGCGACAGUUCGGCGAUUCGUUGAGCCGGUACAAAGUUAUUAAAGAAACGGGCGUUUAGGCUUCGUUUCCGCCUAGAGGGCCGAGGCGACGUCGUAAAGUCCUGGAAACGGAUUUGAAGCAUCGUAAUAGAAAACCGAAGACCUUUAAUUUUCGGAUCGCGGAUCGGAGGUCGUUUGGCGGUCGCGCGCGGAUUGGGUCAAGCCGAGCGGCGUGUGCCGCGGGAGGCCGAUUGCGAGUGACGACGAGCAAUCGGUACGCGAUAAAAGGUGGGGGGUGUCUAUCCGAAGCAAUCGGGCUUCCUUCUAUGUCCGAGUAAAAUAGUUGAUCAUAUUUCAUAUAUAUGGUUCUUAUGCAUUAUAGGAUAUAUGUAUAGUUACAUUUCUACUUUCCUUGAAUGCAUGUCUAGUUGUGUAGUAUUAUAGACUUGACACUUAAAUCUAGAAUGCAUGAUGAUUAAGGUUGAGACAUGAGAUCCUAUGAUGAUAAGAGAAUAAAGAACUUGGACUUGACAAUGAAACUAGUGACAUGUGAACUAGUGUAAUGGAGAUUGUAUGCACGUAGCAUUAUGAAUGGAUUGCAUGCUAGUUGAUUAUGGCA
Ananas comosus (pineapple) is the source of this 925-nucleotide long non-coding RNA. RefSeq lists it as uncharacterized. Lineage: Eukaryota; Viridiplantae; Streptophyta; Magnoliopsida; Poales; Bromeliaceae. The transcript is spliced from 2 exons. The record is from RefSeq and is a predicted model, not a curated record.